RNA transcript from Cryptomeria japonica (Japanese cedar), 3782 nucleotides. It is a transcript of the gene named pentatricopeptide repeat-containing protein At3g26782, mitochondrial, with no coding region annotated. The record is from RefSeq and is a predicted model, not a curated record. The transcript is spliced from 3 exons. Lineage: Eukaryota; Viridiplantae; Streptophyta; Pinopsida; Cupressales; Cupressaceae.
UCUUUGGCCUUUCUUUCAAUAAAAAAAAUUAUCCGUUUGAAGAGCAAAUUCAUAUAAAAACACAAAGCUCCGCACAGGAGGAAAUAGUCUUAAUUUUGAGGAGGCUUGUUUUAGCAGAUCCCACCUGUAGAAAGAAGUCGGCAUCCCUCGUCCUAAAUAUCUAGUGAAGCUAUUCAGUGAUCCUAUCCACUGUAUGGUUUGGUGGAGCCCUGUACUGCGUUUCUGUCUUGGGAAAAUUGUAUCAGAAUGGAAUGGAGAGGCGAUUUGGAAGGGAAAUUUUUCCCAAGAUUUAUGAACCCAAUACAAAGAAGAUGAAUAUGAAUGGCAACCAAAUACUAUACUGAUGUGAUUUAAGACUGGAAAAUUACAUAUGGAAUUUUUUGGGUGGAAGAUGGAAACCAUUUCUCUUCCACCAAAAUUUUCAGCACUUAAAUCCAACCACACCUUGUACAGUGUUGAUUCAUUCCACUUACAAAAAUUAUUUUAUGGUAGAUUCUUUCGACACUGCAUAAAGAAAUAGAUGGCCAUAAUACUUCUGGGAAAUCAGAAUUUCAGGAAGAAGUUGUUAGCAUUUUACUGUGCUAAAAUGGUUGAGAACAAACGUAAGCCACACUCCAAUCAUACAAUGUCAAAUGAUGCCCAUCUCAAUUUCAAUCUCAAUAUCAGAGCACUCUGUAAGGAGGGUUGCUUGAAGGUGGCGGUACACAUUCUUCUUACUACACCCGACUAUUCUGUAGACUCUUUUACAUAUCUUCAACUGUUGCAAACCUGUACUUCCAAGAAAUCCCUUUUAGAUGGUAGGAAAAUCCAUUCCCACAUAAAGGAGAGAGAAUUUGAAUUUGCCACAAACAGAUUUGUACAAAAUAACCUUAUAAGCAUGUAUGGCAAGUGUGGACGUUUAGGAGAUGCCCGCAAUGUGUUUGACCAAAUGACUAAACGAGAUGUCUUCUCAUGGAAUAUGAUAAUUGCAUCUUACAGAAGACAUGGAAUUCCUCGAGAGGCAUUGGCAUUAUUUCACCAAAUGCAACGAACAGGUUUCCGACCAGAUAAGUUUACCUUUGAAAUAAUUGUCCCUGCGUGUACCAAAAUAGGAGAUAUAGAACGGGGUAUGGAGAUCCACCAAUCAAUAAUCGAAAGCGGAUUUCUGUCAAAUGUUGUAGUUACCAAUACCCUGAUAGACAUGUAUGCAAAAUGUGGCAAAAUACAGAAAGCAAGCGAGCUAUUUGACAAAAUGCCUCAUCGAGAUAUAGUGUCAUGGAAUGCAAUCAUUACUGGAUAUGCACAUAAUGGACUUGUUCAUAAGUCCUUGGAGAUUUUUAGUCAAAUGCAGUCGGCAAGUGUGAAAGCAGACUCAACUACUUUCGUUGUCAUCCUCCCAGUUUGUUCGAAAAUAGAAGCAUUGGAACAGGGUAUGGAGAUUCAUCAGAGAAUCAUGGAAGGCGGAUUUUUAGCAGAUGCUGUAGUUGUUACUUCCCUGAUAGAUAUGUAUGCAAAAUGUGGAAGCAUACAGAAGGCGCAUGAAUUGUUUGAAACCAUAUCUCGACGAGAUGUGGUCUUAUGGACUGCAAUCAUUGCUGGAUAUGUGCAAAAUGGGCUUAUUGAAAAGGCUUUACAGCUUUUUAAGCAAAUGCAGCUGACAGAUGCGAAGCCAAACUUUGCCACCUUCGCCAGCAUCCUCCCAGCUUGUGCUAAACAAGGAGUUUUGGAACAAGGUAUGGAGAUCCAUCAAAGAAUAAUUGAAAGCAAAUAUUUUUCACAUGUCGAACUUGUGACUGCUCUGAUAGAUAUGUAUGCAAAAUGUGGGAGCAUACAGAAGGCACUCAAAUUGUUUCACAAGAUGGCUCAACGAGAUAUAGUCUCUUGGAAUACAAUAGCUGCUGGAUAUGCAAAAAGUGGGCUUGCUGAAGAGGCCUUGAAAACUUUUAGGGCAAUGCAAUUGGAAGGUGUUGAGCCAAACUCGGGAACCUUUGCUAGCAUUCUCUCAUCUUGUGCCAAAUUGGGAUGUUUGAAACAGGGUAUGGAGAUCCAUCAAACAAUUAUUGAAAGUGAUUUUUGGUCAGAUGUAUCAGUUGCAAAUGCUCUGAUAGACAUGUAUUCUAAAAGUGGAAGCUUACAUAAGGCCCAGAAAUUGUUUGACAAAUUGCCUCAUCGAGACACUGUCUCGUGGAAUGCGAUAAUUGGUGGACAUGCACAAAAUGGGAUUGUUGAAAAAGCCUUGGAGAUUUUUAAGCAAAUGCAAUUGGCAGACGUAAUGUUCAACUCAGCAACCUUUGCAAGCAUACUCCCAGCUUGUGCCAAACUUGGAGUUUUGGAACAGGGAAUGAGCAUUCAUCAAAAAGUAAUUGAAAGUGGUUUGUCAUCAGAUAUUGUGGUUGCAAAUACCCUGAUAGACAUGUAUGCAAAAUGUGGAAGCAUACAAAAAGCACUCAGAUUGUUUAACAAGAUGAAUAAUGCAAACCUGGUCUCGUGGACAGCAAUAAUUGCGGGAUAUGCAAUGCAUGGCUAUGGCAGUGAUGCCGUGAAACUCUUUGAGCUAAUGAAGAGUUCUGGAACGAGUCCUGACCAUAUAAGCUUUAUUUGUGUUUUAUAUGCAUGCAGCCAUGGAGGUCUAGUGGACGAGGGCUGUAAAUACUUUAAUCAGAUGAGAGACAUUCAUUGCAUUAUACCUGCAAUUGAUCAUUAUGCAUGCAUGGUUGACCUUCUUGGCCGUGAUGGCUAUCUAAAGGAAGCCCUGAACUUUAUCAUCAAAAUGGCAGUAAAACCCGAUGUAUUUGUAUGGAUGAGUUUACUUGGUGCUUGUAGAUCACAUAAAGAUAUAUUGCUAGGAGAAUUUGCAGCAACACAAGUUUUUCAGUUGGAACCUAAAAAUUCCUCGACUUAUGUUGUUCUGUCCCACAUUUAUGCAGAAGUGGGCAGGUGGAGUGAGGUUGAGAAGAUAAGGAAAUUGAUGAAAGAUAGAGGAGCUAGUAAGAUACCUGGAUGCAGUUGGAUUGAAGUCCAUAAAAUGAUACAUUCAUUUGCCAAAGGACAUAGAAGACACCCUCAAACACAGGAGAUGUAUGAAGUGUUGGAGAAAUUGUCUUGGGAGAUGAAGGUAGCAGGGUAUAUUCCUGAUACAAAACCUGUAAUCGGUGAUGUGGAGGAGGAAGAGAAGGAAUCACUACUUUGCCCUCAUAGUGAGAGGUUGGCAAUUGCAUUUGGAUUGUUAAACACACCCCCUGGAACAACUAUUAGAGUUGUCAAGAACCUUCGAGUAUGUGAUGGCUGCCACACUACAACCAAGUUUAUCUCGAAGAUUGUUGCAAGAGAAAUUAUUGUGCGAGAUGCAAGCCGGUUCCAUCAUUUUAAACAUGGACAAUGUUCUUGUGGAGAUUAUUGGUGAUUCUAACUGAAUGAAACUGGAACGACUGGCUUGAACUAUAGCAAGGAACCCUGAAUGAAGGGGAAAGAGAGGAGUGCUAGAAGGAAACAGAAAGCUGCUAAGCCAUCAGGGAAUGUGAGAGAGAGGCUCACAAUCGAUGCUUGGGUUAUGAAAUACCAAGGACCUUUUGUGUGAUUUAAACUCUCCUAUUCAGAUUAGCUACUCUGUCAUUCCAAUCUGGUUGUUGGAAUCAAUUGUUGGAGAGGAGUGGAGAGGAUUGAAACUUUCAAAGAUCGCUCUUGCUAAAUUAUGUGAAUCUGGCUUGCUACCUUCAUAUGUUGCAUUUUAUAAGAAAAGAUGAUGUUCUGUAAUGAACAAACAAUUUAAAAUUUAAACAUCUGAAAUAAAAGAUUAAUAAUAA